This 2836-nucleotide long non-coding RNA is filed under the name Homo sapiens (human). RNAcentral's name for it is "HSALNT0365953". Lineage: Eukaryota; Metazoa; Chordata; Mammalia; Primates; Hominidae. The record is from RNAcentral.
GUAGAAGUGAACCGAUUUCCUUUUUGAGCUUCCAAAGCCCCAGAUAACCUUCAGACAAUUCAUAGAGAAAACCUAAAAAAGUAGAUAAUAUAUUAACUUCCCUACCGAUAUCUACAGUGUCAACAUUUGACUGGAAAAAUGAAUUCGUUGUAUCAGUGUUUGCACCUCAAGUUUGUAGGGCAACUCUUACAGAUUGUAUAACAAGAGCUAGCCCAUCUCUGCUUAUGUCUCAUGAGUACACAUUUAACCUUCCUCACGGCCUGGACAAGGUCAACCACUUUUCAGGGCAGUCAAUCUCAAAGUUCUUUGACCAGAGGAGUUUUUGUCCUGAAGCCACCGUUCCCGCCUCUGUUCCCACAGGACUAGUUCUACAUCAAUGAAGGCCAUCAGCAUGUACGUCCUUCUCCAUAAAACCAUGCAGCCUAACUUGGAAGCUGCUACAGCUUGCAUCCUGGCCUGCAGCCUUGCCUUCCCAGGGCCAAACUCUGUUCUUCCGCGACCCAGAGAUUUGGGUGCUUUGAGAACUGGGAGUUUCAGUCUCUGGGAUCUGGCCUCUGUGCAGACAUAAGGAUGUUGAAAGGAAUGAUGGCAUCCACCAAUCCAACCUCCCACUGGCACAGUCACCUAAAGGCUUGUGAAAAUCUCCAUUGCAUCAACCCCAGUAUCAAAGCCUCAGUGUGCCUCACUUUGCUAGGAGCGAUGCCACAUCUCCCAUUCCUGGAUAGAGGGAGGGCUCCAGGAGAACUGAAGUGUGUGAGUCCCUGUGGCCUGGAAGGAGAGGAGAGAAACCAGGGGCAUAGUCUGGGGCCAUAGUGCCAAGGACUGAGUAUCCUGGGGCUUCCAGCUGCAGGAACGGUGCCUGAGGAUGGAAGCUGGAGGCCAGGACCAGGUGGACAGCUCCUAAUCAGGUAGCCAGCAAACAACAAAUUGGGGAUGCUACGUUAGAACUAGGAAGAAAAGACGAUGCUACGUUAGAACUAAGAAGAAAAGACGAUGCUACGUUAGAACUAGGGAGAAAAGACGAUGCUACGUUAGAACUAGGGAGAAAAGACGAUGCUACGUUAGAACUAGGAAGAAAAGACAGUUCAAGCAGGACAUCAGUAAGCUGUAAGUCAGCUAAGGGAGAAGAGGAAAAAGCAGGUUGAAAAUGGACAGUGGAUGGUGUAGGGCCUGGAUCUUUUCUUGCACCGCAGUGAAAGUGGUUGUGGAAACGUUUUACACAGUUCCUGAGGCAUUUAAAGGGGAAAUGCCAGCCAGAGUGGACCCAGAGUGCAUGAGUUGGGCAAAGAUUUGCUUUUUAUUUCUUUUUUUUAUUUUCCAAAGAAGAGAUCUCCAUUUAGAGCCCCAGUCCCACUCUGUCAGGACAUCCUGAAUCUCAGUCCCCAGGUCCACAAAAGACCUCCCGUCCCCCCAACAGCUGUGCAUUGACCUCACUGACUACACACAGCCCCAAGCCCAUGUCGAGUCAAAACCACCAUCCCUCAGCCUGUGGGCCAGGUACCGGGUUCAGUGCACUCAGUGACGCAAGAGCCCUGGGCAGCUGUCCUGGAGCCACUGGCCAAGCCCAUGGAAACAGCCCUCCUUGUCACUCACCCGCUGUCACUCCAGGGAGCUGGGGAGUCUGCACCCUGGCAGCAGGGAAAGGGGUCUGAUGUUCCAUGUUUUUUAAUGAACGUUUUUGUUCUAUGUAUUUAUUUUUAUAUUUAUUUAUUUACAUAUUUAUGUAUUUAUUUAUUUUUUAAGAGAUGGUAUCUCGCUCUGUUGCCCACGCUGGAGUUGUGUGAUGCUGUCUCGGCUCACUGCAACUUCCACCUCUCAGAUUCAAGAGAUUCUCCUGCUUCAGCUUCCCAAGUAGCUGGGACUAUAGGUAUGCACCUCUACGCCCAGCUAAUUUUUAUAUUUUAGUAAAGACAGCGUUUCACUAUAUGUUGGUCAGGGUGGUCUCAAACUCCUGACCUCAGGUGAUCCAGGUGAUCCAACUGCCUUGGCCUCCCAAAGUGCUGGGAUUACAGGCAUGAGCCACUGCACCCAGCCUAUUUAUUUUUAAUUAAUAGACUUUUUAAAGCAGUUUUAGGUUUACAGAAUAGUUUAUUGGAAAAUCCAAAAACUCCCAUAGAUCCCCUUACCCUCCCUACACAUCUUCCUUAUUUUUAACAUCUUGCCUAAAUGUGGUAUGUUUGUUACAAUUGAUGAGCCAAGAGUGAGACAUCAUUUCACUAAAUGUACAUACUUUACAUUAGGGGCCACUGUUGGUAUUAUACACUCUAUGGAUUUUGACAAAUAUGUAAUGACAUGUGCCCAUCAUUACAGUAUUAUAUAGAAUAGUUUCACUUCCCUAAAGGUCCUCUGUGCUCCACCAAUGCAUCCCUCCCUCCCCCUGACGCCCACCAGCCCCCGGCACUCAAUGACCUGUCUUCAUAGUUUUCUAGAGUGCCUUAUAGUUGGAAUCAUACAGAAUAUACCCCUUUCAGAUUGGUUUUUUUACUUAGCAAUAUGCAUUUAAGGUUCCUGUAUGUCUUUUCAUGAUUUGAUAGCUCAUUUCUAAAAAACCACUGAACGUUUCAUUGUCCGAAUGUACCACAGUUUGACAGACAACUUGGUUGCUUCCAAGUUUUGGCAAUUAUGAUUAAAGCUGCUAUAGACAGUCACGUGCGGGGUUUUUGCAGACAUAAGUUUUCAAUUCAUUUGGGUAAAUACCUAGGAGAACAAUUGCUAGAUUUAUGGUAAGAGUGUGUUUAAUUUUAUUAUUUUAAAAAACUGCCAAGCUGUCUUCAACAGUAGCUGUACCAGUUUGCAUUUCCACCAGAAAUAAACAAGAGUUCCUGUUGCUCCACAU